UUGACAGCCCUAGAGACCGACGUAUAUAUUUAUGUCCAAGGAACAGGAAAAGCAAGGGCAGGAGCAGUGCAAGCUUCUGCCAUGGUGUCCCCUCAUCAUCUUCCCUCCUGUGUCUCAACUCUGUUUUGCAGUGAUUAUCUCCGAAGAGUAAAAUAGUGUCUGUCUCCACUCUCAUGCAGUCUUUGGUCUAU
RNAcentral lists this small RNA (191 nucleotides) under Chelonoidis abingdonii (Abingdon island giant tortoise). Its description in RNAcentral is "TUC338 (ENSCABG00000014100.1)". Lineage: Eukaryota; Metazoa; Chordata; Testudines; Testudinidae. The record is from RNAcentral.